AUGGAUUAAUCAAAUUAUGAGUUCGUCUAGUCAUAGGUUCAUUGUGUUGCGGGCUCGUAGAUUUCAGAGCAAAUCAGAUCCUUAAGUGGACAUUACUGCCGAAAUGUUGGACCAGGCCGGGCCUGUAUGCGCGCCUCCAAAGUCCAAAAUCCCCCCAGCCCGCCUCAUUUUUGGAGGUGAUUCAGCGCCAGUGAAUCCAGGAGAAAGGGGUUUUUCGGAGGUUUUUAGGGUUCAUAUCCUUGACGUUGCUUAAGGAAAACGGAGAGCUACAAUGGCUACUUUGGUUGGGAGAUCAACCUGUACACUGAUGCGGGCAACAUUUCCCAGAACAAUUUGUCAAUCAACAAUCAAAAGCAAAAGCUUUUCUAUGCCUCCCUCAAUUCUCCCUAACGCCACUCUACGUGUUUCCCCAUCUUCACUUUCUUCUCCAAGGUUGGCUUUGCUAUCCUUUUUUCUUUAAAAGCUGUUCCUUUUUUAGUUGCAUGGCUGUUUUUUGUUUCUCAUUUGAAUGGGAUAACCAAAAAUGAUUGUGGGCAUUGGUCAUAUCGGUAGGAUGGUUUUACGACGAGAAUUGAGCUCACUUCUGCCCUUACACAGUGCCACUGCUUCAGCUUGCCUUGUCUCCAAGCUUCCCUCUUUAGACCGUUCCUCCUCUGAAGGUUCUUUCCACAUACACUUCUUGCUAUAACUUCUCGUUCUUAAUAUUAGUUAGAGGUCUUCGCUGAUCAAAGUAUUGGAUUUGAUGUUUAAUAUUAAGAAUUGAUGGCCAUAGGAUGAGAACUUGACCUAGUGUUGAGAUGGCUUGGAAUUACUUGUCGAAAUGCUCUGUAGUGUCUUUCUGCAUCUAAAUUGAGCAUGCAUAAUGGUUCUUGUGCUUAGAGAGACCGUUUGAAGUGGUUUUGGAAUCUGCCCUAUUGUAAAGAUGGAUUAGGGUGCAAAACCAAUGGCUCCAACCCAGUUCUGUAGUAAAAAUUUGACAGUUGGAAAAUGGAAUGUUAUUGAAUUGUCAUAUGGUCAAACUUGUGGUUUUAGUUCAUUAAGAUGGAUAGGAGACUUUCUCAAACUGGUGUCCGAACUGAUGCCUGAUUCUACAUUUGUAUACGAACACACCGAGCAAAUACAUGCAAGGGAGACGGAAUAAAUUUAGGUUGUAUCUCAUAUACUCAUGUGGUGGCUCAUUCAGUUUCGUUUCCUGAUUACAGGUAGAUUUGUUAACUAUGUCAGCCCCAUCUAGCAUCAAGUCCUGCUACUGGGAAGAGAUGCGUCAUAGAAUUUGGCUGAGUGAUUUUACAAUGGUAAUGGACGAACUGGGAUACGAAGUUGCUGGUUUAUUUCUCCAACCGACACUCUGGCUCCACGGUUAAUUCCUGAACAUGUUUGUUUAUAUUCUUCGAUGCAGCUGCUUGUUAUUGAGCUUGGCCGUGAAUUGAUACUAGUGUCAUCAUUUGAUAAGGAGAAAUUUUAAUCACUCAGACCAUAGUGGUACUUUUAGCAUCAUAUUAUUUAUGCAUGCACUUACUGGUGGUGCAAUUUCUGGGUUUAUGGAUUAUAGACACCACCUUUCUGGAAGCCUUUUUUUGUUUGUGUAGCACCUUCUGGUAAUAUGCACUGUUGCUGAGUUGCUGAUAUUCAUCAAAAAAGAUUGUCUUAGGAUACUCUUCCGUUAUAUCUGGUUUCUAUAACCAUUAAUCCAGUAUAAUUUGAUUUCCUGUGUUGUUUUUGCACCUUUUCGUUUGAUGGGAAUUUUCCUUCUCAUACAAAUAUAAAACAUCAAUGGAUCUUUUGAAUGAAGUAUUUUGCAGCAAAAUAUAGUUCAUGAACAAGUACAGUACGUAUAUAGUUCAUGAACAAGCACAGUACGUAUGUAGUUCAUG
RNAcentral lists this long non-coding RNA (1874 nucleotides) under Linum usitatissimum (flax). Its description in RNAcentral is "long non-coding RNA (LUSI_LNC008149)". The record is from RNAcentral. Lineage: Eukaryota; Viridiplantae; Streptophyta; Magnoliopsida; Malpighiales; Linaceae.